RNAcentral lists this ribosomal RNA (253 nucleotides) under uncultured bacterium. RNAcentral describes it as "partial 16S ribosomal RNA". It matches the Rfam family "Bacterial small subunit ribosomal RNA", at positions 524 to 776 of the family's 1533-position model. The record is from RNAcentral.
UACGUAGGUGGCAAGCGUUGUCCGGAUUUACUGGGCGUAAAGAGCGCGCGGGCGGUCGUUCAAGUCGCGUGUGAAAGCCCCCGGCUCAACUGAGGAAGUGCGCCCGAAACUGCAGAGCUUGAGUGCCGGAGAGGGUGGCGGAAUUCCCCAAGUAGAGGUGAAAUUCGUAGAUAUGGGGAGGAACACCGGUGGCGAAGGCGGCCACCUGGACGGUAACUGACGCUGAGACGCGAAAGCGUGGGGAGCAAACAGG